UACGGAGGGGGCGAGCGUUGUCCGAAGUUACUGGGCGUAAAGGGUGCGUAGGCGGUCGGGUAAGUCUGACGUGAAAUCUCCAAGCCUAACUUGGAAACUGCGUUGGAUACUCUCCGGCUAGAGGAAUGGAGGGGAGACUGGAAUACUUGGUGUAGCAGUGAAAUGCGUAGAUAUCGGGAAGAACACCCGUGGCGAAGGCGGCUCUCUGGGACGGUACUGACGCUGAGACGCGAAAGCGUGGGGAGCGAACAGG
This 253-nucleotide ribosomal RNA is filed under the name uncultured bacterium. Its description in RNAcentral is "partial 16S ribosomal RNA". It matches the Rfam family "Bacterial small subunit ribosomal RNA", at positions 524 to 776 of the family's 1533-position model. The record is from RNAcentral.